This 858-nucleotide ribosomal RNA is filed under the name Bacillus amyloliquefaciens. RNAcentral describes it as "bacterial SSU rRNA". It matches the Rfam family "Bacterial small subunit ribosomal RNA", at positions 56 to 896 of the family's 1533-position model. The record is from RNAcentral. RNAcentral also lists the same sequence under 2 other names. Lineage: Bacteria; Bacillati; Bacillota; Bacilli; Caryophanales; Bacillaceae.
UGCAGUCGAGCGGACAGAUGGGAGCUUGCUCCCUGAUGUUAGCGGCGGACGGGUGAGUAACACGUGGGUAACCUGCCUGUAAGACUGGGAUAACUCCGGGAAACCGGGGCUAAUACCGGAUGGUUGUUUGAACCGCAUGGUUCAGACAUAAAAGGUGGCUUCGGCUACCACUUACAGAUGGACCCGCGGCGCAUUAGCUAGUUGGUGAGGUAACGGCUCACCAAGGCGACGAUGCGUAGCCGACCUGAGAGGGUGAUCGGCCACACUGGGACUGAGACACGGCCCAGACUCCUACGGGAGGCAGCAGUAGGGAAUCUUCCGCAAUGGACGAAAGUCUGACGGAGCAACGCCGCGUGAGUGAUGAAGGUUUUCGGAUCGUAAAGCUCUGUUGUUAGGGAAGAACAAGUGCCGUUCAAAUAGGGCGGCACCUUGACGGUACCUAACCAGAAAGCCACGGCUAACUACGUGCCAGCAGCCGCGGUAAUACGUAGGUGGCAAGCGUUGUCCGGAAUUAUUGGGCGUAAAGGGCUCGCAGGCGGUUUCUUAAGUCUGAUGUGAAAGCCCCCGGCUCAACCGGGGAGGGUCAUUGGAAACUGGGGAACUUGAGUGCAGAAGAGGAGAGUGGAAUUCCACGUGUAGCGGUGAAAUGCGUAGAGAUGUGGAGGAACACCAGUGGCGAAGGCGACUCUCUGGUCUGUAACUGACGCUGAGGAGCGAAAGCGUGGGGAGCGAACAGGAUUAGAUACCCUGGUAGUCCACGCCGUAAACGAUGAGUGCUAAGUGUUAGGGGGUUUCCGCCCCUUAGUGCUGCAGCUAACGCAUUAAGCACUCCGCCUGGGGAGUACGGUCGCAAGACUG